Molecule: non-coding RNA, 54 nt
Organism: Salmo salar (Atlantic salmon)
Lineage: Eukaryota; Metazoa; Chordata; Actinopteri; Salmoniformes; Salmonidae
Source: Rfam
UCAUCUUUGUGUUGUAAGUCGCUGUGGAUAAGAGCGUCUGCUAAAUGACGUAAA